CGCUGGCGGCGUGCUUAACACAUGCGAAGUCGAACGAGGAUUAUGUUGGAGGGGCUUCGGCCUGGAAGAUGUAAUUCGAGUGGCGGACGGGUGAGUAACGCGUGAACAAUCUGUCCCGGACAGGGGAAUAACACUUGGAAACAGGUGCUAAUACCGCAUAAGACCACGCCCUCGCAUGGGGGAGGGGUAAAAGGAGCAAUCCGGUUCGGGGUGAGUUCGCGUCCGAUUAGAUAGUUGGUGAGGUAACGGCCCACCAAGUCGACGAUCGGUAGCCGACCUGAGAGGGUGAUCGGCCACAUUGGAACUGAGAGACGGUCCAAACUCCUACGGGAGGCAGCAGUGGGGAAUAUUGGGCAAUGGGCCGAAAGCCUGACCCAGCAACGCCGCGUGAGUGAAGAAGGCUUUCGGGUUGUAAAGCUCUGUUAUAGGGGACGAAGGAAGUGACGGUACCCUAUAAGGAAGCCCCGGCUAACUACGUGCCAGCCGCGGC
RNAcentral lists this ribosomal RNA (490 nucleotides) under uncultured bacterium. RNAcentral's name for it is "bacterial SSU rRNA". It matches the Rfam family "Bacterial small subunit ribosomal RNA", at positions 34 to 518 of the family's 1533-position model. The record is from RNAcentral.